This 962-nucleotide long non-coding RNA is filed under the name Mytilus galloprovincialis (Mediterranean mussel). Lineage: Eukaryota; Metazoa; Mollusca; Bivalvia; Mytilida; Mytilidae. The record is from RNAcentral.
UCAUAAAACUCAAUUUCUGAUAAAUUACGAAAACUGUGCUAAAAAAUGUGUAUAGGGCAGAGAAAAGUAAUACAUGUAAAAUUGUGAUAUAAUAAAUUAUGCUAUUCAGAGAUUUCAUUUAUAUAUCUAUCUUACAUUUCUCUCAUUACAAAUAUUAUAUUUUCAUAAUUCAAUAAAUCUUCUUACAAACCAGAUUCAAAAAGUUACAUUGUAAGCAUAUAACUAAAUUAAGCAAUAAUGAAACCAAGCUGCCUACUGCAAUAUAAUGCUAUACAAUUCUAUAAAUAGAGACUCAGAGCAGAGUUUAAGACUCACAAGUUUACAACCCCUAAAUUCCUAUAGGGAAGAUAUUUUUAACAAAUUAAGCAUCCAAGGGCUAUUUUAUUUGUUCAUCAAUCACAUAAUUUCAAAACAUUCAAAAAAGAUAUAAGAAUAUAUUUCAGUAAAGUUUAAUCAUAGGCAGCCGUGUUUUCAUUCUGAUUUAUUUCAAAUAAAGAUCCAAAGCCCCCCUGUUUGCAACCCAGUAAAAGAGGAUCAUUUAUAAUAGGAAUCAAAUAUGACAGCAAUUUUUAAUUCAACUAGAAUUUUUAGAGAUUACCUCCUUUCAUUACAACUAAACUCAGACCAAAAUCUGCAAAGGGAUUUCAGAGAAAAAAGAAAGAAAUGCAAAAAGAUUACUAACCAGGAACAAAAAAAGAACCUAGUAAUAGCAGUGUUUCACAGUACCCAUAGGCUUUAAUAAGGCAUGACAAAUUAAAAAUAUUGACCUGGAUAUAUGCAGGAAUAAUGCCCAAACAAUAUUUUAAAACUAAGAUAUAAAUUUGAUUGUUUGAAUAAACAAUUCAAUAUAUACACAAUAAUCUGUCUUUUUCUUUUGCAAGCAAUGACAUCAACAAUGAAAACUUAAUACAAAUAGUAACUCUUUAUAAAGAUAUUUAAUGUUUUGUUUCAAGUUAUUUAUG